AAGACUGAAGACCAGCAGUUGUACUGUAGCUGUUGGUUUCAAGCAGACGCGCGACGCCUAAAGAACUGUCUUCCUGUGGUUUGUUGGCUAUUCUGGACUUCAGUAGAGAAUGACUAUUCCAUUUGGAGGAAACAACC
Rattus norvegicus (Norway rat) is the source of this 137-nucleotide small nucleolar RNA. The record is from Ensembl. NCBI's taxonomy places the organism in Eukaryota, Metazoa, Chordata, Mammalia, Rodentia, Muridae.